RNAcentral lists this ribosomal RNA (301 nucleotides) under uncultured bacterium. RNAcentral describes it as "partial 16S ribosomal RNA". It matches the Rfam family "Bacterial small subunit ribosomal RNA", at positions 509 to 807 of the family's 1533-position model. The record is from RNAcentral.
CAGUCGCCACGGUAAUACGUAGGUGGCAAGCGUUAUUCGGAUUGAUUGGGUGUAAAGGGUGUGCAGACGGCUUAUUAAGUCACUUGUUAAAUUCUUCGGCCUAACUGAAGGUCUGCAAGUGAUACUGAUGAGCUAGAGGGUGGAAGAGAGAAGUGGAAUUCUCGGAGUAGCGGUAAAAUGCGUAGAUCUCGAGAGGAACACCAAUGGCGAAGGCAGCUUCUUGGUCCAUUCCUGACGUUCAUACACGAAAGCGUGGGGAGCAAACAGGAUUAGAUACCCGAGUAGUCCCUGUCUCUUAUAC